This is a non-coding RNA of Lupinus albus (white lupine), 267 nucleotides long. NCBI's taxonomy places the organism in Eukaryota, Viridiplantae, Streptophyta, Magnoliopsida, Fabales, Fabaceae. The record is from the annotation of a GenBank genome assembly.
UUCAAUAAUAUUGUUUUGGAAAUUAAGGCAGUGAGGUUGGUUUUUAACUCUUCCUAUUCUUACUUUGGUUUUGAUGGCAAUCACUCAUGACUUGGUUAAUUCUCCUACAAGUGAUGACAUUGCACUUGAUCAAGGAGUUGCUUACCUUCUUAUGUUGGUGGCGCUUGCAAUCACUUAUACGUUCCAUUGAUAUUUGUUAUUACUAUUAUUACUAAAAUAUUUUCAUUACUAUUAUUGCCUCAUAGUCUUUCAAAUAAUGAAAUGAGA